RNAcentral lists this ribosomal RNA (380 nucleotides) under Enterococcus faecium. RNAcentral describes it as "bacterial LSU rRNA". It matches the Rfam family "Bacterial large subunit ribosomal RNA", at positions 2548 to 2925 of the family's 2925-position model. The record is from RNAcentral. Lineage: Bacteria; Bacillati; Bacillota; Bacilli; Lactobacillales; Enterococcaceae.
UGGGGCUGUAGUCGGUCCGAAGGGUUGGGCUGUUCGCCCAUUGGAGCGGGACGCGAGCUGAGCUGAGAACGUGGUGGGACAGUUCGGUCCCUAGUCGUCGCGGGCGUUGGAAAUUUGAGAGGAGCUGUCCUUAGUACGAGCGGACCGGGMUGGACUUACCGCUGGUGUACCAGUUGUWCUGCCAAGGGCAUUGCUGGGUAGCUAUGUAGGGAAGGGAUAAACGCUGAAAGCAUCUAAGUGUGAAGCCCACCUCAAGAUGAGAUUUCCCAUUUCUUUAAGAAAGUAAGAUCCCUGAGAGAUGAUCAGGUAGAUAGGUCAGGAGUGGAAGUACAGUGAUGUAUGGAGCGGACUGAUACUAAUCGAUCGAGGACUUAACCAAU